This 3104-nucleotide long non-coding RNA is filed under the name Marmota monax (woodchuck). Lineage: Eukaryota; Metazoa; Chordata; Mammalia; Rodentia; Sciuridae. The record is from RNAcentral.
GCCUGUCCGGAGCGCGGCCACCUGCGAGCAGAUGGAGCUGGACCACAUGACGAGCGGCGGCCUCCACGCCUACCCUGGGCCGCGGGGCGGGCCGGCGGCCAAGCCCAACGUGAUCCUGCAGAUCGGUAAGUGCCGCGCCGAGAUGCUGGAGCACGUGCGGAGGACCCAUCGGCACCUGCUGACCGAGGUGUCCAAGCAGGUAGAGCGCGAGCUGAAGGGGCUGCACAGGUCGGUGGGCAAGCUGGAGAACAACUUGGACGGCUACGUGCCCACGAGCGACUCGCAGCGCUGGAAGAAGUCCAUCAAGGCCUGCCUGUGCCGCUGCCAGGAGACCAUCGCCAACCUGGAGCGCUGGGUCAAGCGCGAGAUGCAUGUGUGGCGCGAGGUCUUCUACAGACUGGAGAAGUGGGCCGACCGCCUGGAGUCCAUGGGCGGCAAGUACCCGGUGGGCAACGAUCCAGCCCGCCACACGGUCUCCGUGGGCGUGGGGGGUCCUGAGAGCUACUGCCACGAGACUGAUGGCUACGACUACACGGUCAGCCCCUAUGCUAUCACUCCGCCACCCGCUGCUGGUGAGCUGCCGGGUCAAGAACCAGCUGAAGCCCAGCAGUACCAGCCCUGGGGGCCUGGAGAGGACGGGCAGCCAAGCCCCGGUGUGGACACUCAGAUCUUCGAGGACCCACGGGAGUUCCUGAGCCACCUGGAAGAAUACCUGCGGCAGGUGGGUGGCUCUGAGGAGUACUGGCUGUCCCAGAUUCAGAACCACAUGAAUGGGCCAGCCAAGAAGUGGUGGGAGUUCAAGCAGGGCUCUGUGAAGAACUGGGUGGAAUUCAAGAAGGAGUUCCUGCAGUACAGCGAGGGCACCCUGUCCCGAGAGGCCAUCCAGCGGGAGCUGGACCUGCCACAGAAGCAGGGUGAGCCACUGGAUCAGUUCCUGUGGCGCAAGCGGGAUCUGUACCAGACCCUGUACGUGGACGCUGAGGAGGAGGAGAUCAUCCAGUAUGUGGUGGGCACCCUGCAGCCCAAGCUUAAGCGCUUUCUGCGCCACCCACUGCCCAAGACCCUGGAGCAGCUCAUCCAGAGGGGCAUGGAGGUGCAGGACGGCCUGGAGCAGGGGGUUGAGCCAGCCGGCCCCCAGGUGCCCACUGAGGACGAAGCAGAGGCCCUCACUCCCGCCCUCACCAGCGAGUCUGUGGCCAGCGACCGGACCCAGCCUGAAUAGAGGGCAGCCCAGGGCCCCCAGCCUGCCCACCACAGCCAUGCUGUGGCUUUUGCUAACCAGGACUUGAUCUGGCACUGAUACCCACUGGGUCAUUCCUCAUCCAACAGGCACCCUCAGCCUCCAGGCCCUAAUCACAGACAUGCCACCCAGAUGUGUGCAAAGCCCUGAGCAGCGAGGAGCCCCUCCCCUGCAGGGCUCCUGCGUCACCCCACCUCUGUCUCCCUGGCCUCCUGCCUGGGCCUGGGGGCAGCCCUACCCUCUGCACUCAGGCCACUGCAGAACAUCUCCAGCUUCCUCAUUCUGCUCCAGUGCUUCUGGGCACACAGGAAACCAAGUGUCCAGAAGGCAGAGACCGCUCAACAGGGCACCCGGGCAGAAGGCAAGGCAGAACCAGUGCUGAACCUCAACUUCUGGCACACCACCCACUCCUGGCAGACACUGCAGAGCCAGCUGGCACUCCCGUCGCCCCCCGGGGCAGACGGCCAGCCUUGGGCAGCACAACUCCCUUCUCAGGGAGCACCUAAGUUGCACAUGCAGCAGCAGCAGCAGCAGCAGACCUGACAUCCUGGCGCCUCCUGGCCCCUAGGUGAGUCCCCACCUCUGUGGCAUCUUAGAGCUGGGAGGGUCAGGGCCCAGUUCAUUCUCCAAAUGAGCCCAUUGAGGCUCCGAGGCAGCAAAGAUGGGGUCGGGAUGGCAUCGUGGGGGUGCAGAGAGACCCCCAGGAUCAGGAGUGGGCUGGGGUGGGAGGCAGUGCUGAGGAGCUGGCUCAGCCCGCUCACCGGGACCCUGUGCUUCUCAUCUCAGAUAGUGAUUCAUGCCAGACGCGCAGGGUCUGAGCUCUGCUCAGUGACUCAGCUGUGGCGGGCACACAGUCCCAGAGGGGCCAAGUCCUCAAAUCCGGCUGAGGCAGCAGCCAGCACUCGGAGCCAGGAGAAUCACAACAGGUAACAGAGCCCCAUUCUUCCUGCCUCAGACUGCCCCUCUGCCAUCCUGCCCAGGCAUGCGCUCACCCAUCCCCUGUGAAAGCUGAGAGUCUGUGCCUGGACCCUGGGGGCUCCAGCCCAAGAACCUGCCCCCGGUCCUGCCUGUGAGCCCACUGCUCUGUUGCUGAUGGCUGUGCUUUCUCUCCUUCAGGUCUCUGACUGCCUUGGAGUCUUUGCUGCUGAGCCUGGCACUGUCUUCCCCUCUCUCAAGGCUGCCAGCCCCAGGGCAGCUGAGAGAGGGCAGCUGCAGAGAGGAGGCGUUCUGGCGCUGGGUAGCACCCCAGCUCGGCCUGAGAGCUGGUGGUGAGGAUGGACCGGCGUGAGGGCCAGGGCCUGCCGCUAUGCCCGCCCCGCUGGCUGCCAGCUCCCUGCCCCUAGAGCCACUGCAGCCAAAGCCAGGGUCCACUACCCUGGCCCUUCCAGCAGGGAGUCCCUGCGUGCUGUGUGGCUAUGGCCUCCUGCCAGAUCCUUUUAGGAGCCCCGAGGCCAGGGCCCCAGCCCCUCCAGCAGCCCCCAGGCCAGCCCCAGGAGAUCCUGAGGCCUUUGCUCCUGGGCUGUCCCAGGCUCUCUGUUCUGCCCUGGCCCUGCUUUUGCUCAGGCUAGACCCUGGGCCACUCAUGUCUGCAGCUGGAGCAGCCCGGACUGAAGUUUUGGAGGUUCCUCUUUCUGCCUUGCCUAUUGGGGUUCCGGAUUCUGGGGACCAACUCUGCACAUGAUCUGAUGAAUCCUCCACCCUGUGCCCCUGCCCAUCCCCACAGAUUUUAUUUUUGCACAUAAGCCAUAACUCAUACUCAUUGGCCAGCACAGGCUGCAGGGAGGUCCUGGGGCCUGGGGAGACCUCAGAGGGUGUGCCUCCCCCCUACACAAACUACGCCUUGAAAGUCCUGCCAGGCCUGAAU